Long non-coding RNA from Brassica rapa (field mustard), 656 nucleotides. RefSeq lists it as uncharacterized. The record is from RefSeq and is a predicted model, not a curated record. Lineage: Eukaryota; Viridiplantae; Streptophyta; Magnoliopsida; Brassicales; Brassicaceae.
UAAAUGAAUAAAUGUUUUAUUUCAAAUUUAAAUAAUAUAAUUUUAGUCCUAAUUUUUUAAAAAAAUUUAUAUAUAUAUAUAUAUAUAUAUAGAUAUAGAUAUACGCUUCCAACACGUACCCGAUUCCUAAUAUUUUAAAAAAUCUCGCUUCUGCGCUUUCUUACGCUUCCGCUUCCACGUACCCGCUUCCGUUUCCAUGUAACAUAGAUUCGGUGACGCAAAAAAUGCUUUACGUCCAUUAGAUGCCAUCUGAAGCCAAUCUAGUAAGUUGGUGACUGUCACACAAUAAAUAUAAACAUUUAAAGAAGCUCCCUACCUAACAAAACCUAACAUAACAUGUUAGCAUAUAAUCAUUUUCAGUGUCCCUAACGUUGUAAUGAAACCGUAACGCAGUCAUGAAACCAAACCAUUGACUUAGUCUUUUUUACUACAACAUAGUAUGACCUGGAUUAAAGAGUUUUAACAUCUUUGUAGCAGCAGUACACGUUCUAUAAGAUGAUUGAUAGUAUUCAUUAAUGCAAAGAUAAGAUAAUCUUUUGCUUCGUGGCUCUUUUUACUUCAUCUUCUUUCGGAUCUCGUAAAAGUAACUCAAGGCAACGACCGCAGACGCAAUAGCAACCCCGAAUGCUCCCUGAGCCAGAACAGUGCUGUCUGAA